CAAUGGAACUUACCUUUGUGACAUAGGGUACGAUCAAGCAUGGUCUUGGCCACAGCUCUUUGCUUACUGACUGACCUCACUGUCAGUUUUCUUCUAGUUUGGUUGGGGUUUAACUUUGCUGAGGGCCCCCACCCUUGUACUCUGCAAACACAACUUCUGUGUGGCUGCUGCAGCCUGGUUGAAUCAAAACUGUCUUGGCCCUGGAUUAGGACUGGUCAGUGCCAUGCGCAGGUCAGGAAGCCGUGCCUGGAUUUCACUGUGAUGGCAGAGCUGUCAAGGAAGACUUGUGCCAGCCAGAGCUGUGAAGUGUAUCUUCCUGCAUCUUUCUUUUAAAAUUUGCUCACAGUGAUGCAAACUGCAUCCCAGAUUCAGUAUCAUUUGGAGACAACCAAAAACCUGGCUGGUCUGUGAUGAAUGAAAUCCAGCAUGGUGCCUUCUUACCUCCGCAGGGAUCAUGAGUUUCAAGUGCAGAGACCUGUGCUCUUAGCUUGCCCAGCAGAAGGGAUAAUGGUGCCAGGUCCAGCAAGCGUGUGGCGCCAAGGACAGCUGCGCACUGAGGCCAGUGGAUUUUGUGUCACCUGGUGUAGCAGAACGAGAGUUAGUUCAUAUUUCUGUCACAAAGGAGGCUCAACUAUCAUUAAGUCCAAGUGAUCCUUGUUUGAUUACACUGAACAUUCUGUAGAAGCUGUGAAGGAAACCAAAGUGGGAAACACUUGCUAUAAUUUUUUAUU
Long non-coding RNA from Vidua chalybeata, 731 nucleotides. RefSeq lists it as uncharacterized. NCBI's taxonomy places the organism in Eukaryota, Metazoa, Chordata, Aves, Passeriformes, Viduidae. The transcript has 4 exons. The record is from RefSeq and is a predicted model, not a curated record.